GGAUGUGUAGGUAAGUGGUCAAAGCCAGCUGACUGUAAAUCAGCCGCAAUGUCUUCGAAGGUUCGAAUCCUUCCGCAUCCACCA
RNAcentral lists this transfer RNA (84 nucleotides) under Pseudomonas asiatica. Its description in RNAcentral is "tRNA-Tyr". It matches the Rfam family "tRNA". Rfam says of the family: Transfer RNA (tRNA) molecules are approximately 80 nucleotides in length. Their secondary structure includes four short double-helical elements and three loops (D, anti-codon, and T loops). Further hydrogen bonds mediate the characteristic L-shaped molecular structure. tRNAs have two regions of fundamental functional importance: the anti-codon, which is responsible for specific mRNA codon recognition, and the 3' end, to which the tRNAs corresponding amino acid is attached (by aminoacyl-tRNA synthetases). tRNAs cope with the degeneracy of the genetic code in two manners: having more than one tRNA (with a specific anti-codon) for a particular amino acid; and 'wobble' base-pairing, i.e. permitting non-standard base-pairing at the 3rd anti-codon position. The record is from RNAcentral. Lineage: Bacteria; Pseudomonadati; Pseudomonadota; Gammaproteobacteria; Pseudomonadales; Pseudomonadaceae.